Molecule: long non-coding RNA, 1999 nt
Organism: Eutrema salsugineum
Lineage: Eukaryota; Viridiplantae; Streptophyta; Magnoliopsida; Brassicales; Brassicaceae
Exons: 9
Source: RefSeq, a predicted model, not a curated record
UGUUACAGCUCGUUGCAGCGAUGCUAUUGCUUCUUCUUCUUCAUCUUUCACGAUUCCUCUCUGCUUCUUCUUUACCGUUUCACAUGGCUGCUUCUGUUGCAAAACCAAUUAGAGAAAGAGACUAACCUUCCAAAGAGAAGUUUCUUUUAAAUCCGUUCAGUUGUUGUUUUUGUGGUUUUUUUUAUCAAUUCAAUCUUCCCGUCGAGAGAAUUAUGGACCGGGGAUAAGGGUUUCAAUUCUCAUGGAAACGCGCGAAAAUCAAUCAGUUGAACUCGAUGAUUUUCCCGGAAAAAAAAAAAGAAGUGUGCUGCUUUUUCAAUCGAUCUUGUUCGAUCUAUCAAGAGCUUCCUCGCAUCGUUUUCGUUCCAUACAAUCUUCGCAGCAAGAAGGUUCAUAAAUUAUUUCUCGCCAUGGAAACGGCCUUUAGGGAAUAUUUAACAGAUGAAUAUAUUGAUUGUGUCUUGGAGGGUUUGGAGAAAAACGUUGGAAAAAUACUAUGUAUCAAGACUUACGGACCAGCAGAUCUUCGAAAUGAUGAAAAUGCUUAGAAUCUUCAUGAUGAUGUUGUUUCAGGUCGGAGAUUUAUUCUAAGUAUAGGUUGCAGAGAAGAACCUACUGAAAAUCAACUCCUUCGAAGUCCAUUCGCAUGAAAAGCUAUUGCACACUCAAUAGCAACAUGAUUAUUGAUACAUUAAAGUCGAAGGACAAUAUUCUGGCAGGAGCAUAUGAGUUCUUACUUCUCCUCGUAUAUGUUACAAUCAAAGGCAAAUCCUCCGCUCUUGCUUCCUAACUCAAGUUCUCCAGAGGAGGGCCAAAUUUGUCUCCGAGGAUGGUUAGUAUAUGCCAAACUUGGCUCAGCCAACUAUGGAGCUAGCCCAAAAGUCAAUUUCCAUUGAGGAAACUGUUUUUGACAAAAACGUGCAAGGUGCAAGAGCAAGAUUAGUUAGAAGAGGAAGCCCAGCUAAAGUGAAUUAAGAAGUUUUGCAGCGCUGAUCAAGAAGGUAGAUUCUGGUUCAUCAAUAAGAAUGCAAACACAUGCUUCUUUGUUUAGUGAUUUGGACAACCCAAGUGUGGAGGCAGAGGCAAGUGACCCUGAAUGAGGAAGAUGUUAAGAAUUAGGAGUAAAGUGCAACAAUGAAGGAAAGGUAGUGCAUCAGAGUUCUGGAUCCCAGCACAUCUAGUGUGGUGCCACACACCACACAUAUCACAGGCUAACAUCCUUUCACCAUCAUCAUCCUUUGUGCCACACUUGCAAUCAACCUUCCAAUUCUCCACUCCUCUCUCCAUGCGGUAUCGGAGGAGCCCGUGUUUUGAUGAGCAUCUCCCUUUAACCCGUAUGACCCCAUUUGUGCCAACUAAAAACUUCAGGCUUCGCUUUUCAGGUCAGAAACAGUAGCGUCCAAUGGCAAAACCAAAAGUUCAGGUGGAGGGGAUGGGCAGUCUUUGGCCUCAUCCGAGAGCUCAACAUUGCACCACAGGUUGAUUGCAAAGGGGUUAACCGUGCUAGACAGGUUCAAGCCUGAAGUUCACGAGCAAAGGUUAAGAUUUUGCAAAUUGGAAACCAGCCGAACCAACCAGGAAAAUGAAGAAACAUUACCUGUACUCAAAGUCGUUCGAACCAGGGUUACAACGGAAGCAGACUACUCGUGAUCCAUCAUCCGCCAAAAACCCUCCAAAAUGCUUUAGACAGUAAUCAAUCAGCUGUGGAGAUGCUGUUUUGCAAAUAGACCUUUUGAGAGCCCACCUUGUAACCCAGUUGCCUCGUUGACCUCCUGCAGCUUUCACUAUCUUAACCAUGGCUUGCUGUACACGUUCUAUAUCACUCCUAGUCCAAGCACACAGAACAUACGGCUUUGCUGCGGGUUUUGAUCGGUUCUCACGAAUCAGCUGUAGCAGAAAGGAAAAGAGGUCUCUCACGGUCACAAGCUCUGAACACGAGAGUGAUUGGUAGAAGCCAAUAGUGGAGUGGAGUUGGGUUCUUGCCCUCCUCCCCUGGAAC